This 119-nucleotide ribosomal RNA is filed under the name Triticum aestivum (bread wheat). The record is from RNAcentral. Lineage: Eukaryota; Viridiplantae; Streptophyta; Magnoliopsida; Poales; Poaceae.
GGAUGCGAUCAUACCAGCACUAAAGCACCGGAUCCCAUCAGAACUCCGAAGCUAAGCGUGCUUGGGCGAGAGUAGUACUAGGAUGGGUGACCUCCUGGGUAGUCCUCGUGUUGCAUUCC